RNAcentral lists this ribosomal RNA (497 nucleotides) under uncultured bacterium. Its description in RNAcentral is "partial 16S ribosomal RNA". It matches the Rfam family "Bacterial small subunit ribosomal RNA", at positions 28 to 507 of the family's 1533-position model. The record is from RNAcentral.
GACGAACGCUGGCGGCGUGCCUAAUACAUGCAAGUUGAGCGAUGAAGAUUGGUGCUUGCACCAAUUUGAAGAGCAGCGAACGGGUGAGUAACGCGUGGGGAAUCUGCCUUUGAGCGGGGGACAACAUUUGGAAACGAAUGCUAAUACCGCAUAAUAACUUUAAACAUAAGUUUUAAGUUUGAAAGAUGCAAUUGCAUCACUCAAAGAUGAUCCCGCGUUGUAUUAGCUAGUUGGUGAGGUAAAGGCUCACCAAGGCGAUGAUACAUAGCCGACCUGAGAGGGGGGUCCGCCAACGUGGGACCUGGACCCGGCCCCAACCUCCACGGGAGGCAGCAGUAGGGAAUCUUCGGCAAUGGACGAAAGUCUGACCGAGCAACGCCGCGUGAGUGAAGAAGGUUUUCGGAUCGUAAAACUCUGUUGGUAGAGAAGAACGUUGGUGAGAGUGGAAAGCUCAUCAAGUGACGGUAACUACCCAGAAAGGGACGGCUAACUACGUG